This 201-nucleotide long non-coding RNA is filed under the name Elaeis guineensis (African oil palm). RNAcentral describes it as "long non-coding RNA (EGUI_LNC006158)". The record is from RNAcentral. Lineage: Eukaryota; Viridiplantae; Streptophyta; Magnoliopsida; Arecales; Arecaceae.
UGGUCCACCAAAAAUAUGUUAGGAAGGAACCUAGCAGCUAAGAUCCAUUGGUUAAAAGACUCUGCCAAGUUAUUGUCCAUCACUCCCCACCUACAAUCUUAAAAAAAUACAUUAGCCCAUUGUGUAGGCUGAGUACUCAAGAUCCAAUCUCUGGCCAAUGGCAUCUUGAAGACUAUGUCAUGAAAGUAUCGUUCGAACUCC